Molecule: long non-coding RNA, 104 nt
Organism: Lynx canadensis (Canada lynx)
Lineage: Eukaryota; Metazoa; Chordata; Mammalia; Carnivora; Felidae
Exons: 3
Source: RefSeq, a predicted model, not a curated record
UUACACGGCCAUACAAAAGGUUGAGAUCUUGCCAUGUGCGACAACACAGAUGGACCUAGAGGGUAUUAUGCUAAGUGAAAUAAGUCAGACAGAGAAAGAUGAGU